RNAcentral lists this long non-coding RNA (696 nucleotides) under Mus musculus (house mouse). RNAcentral describes it as "predicted gene, 50311". Lineage: Eukaryota; Metazoa; Chordata; Mammalia; Rodentia; Muridae. The record is from RNAcentral.
GAACAUUCAAGAUGAAAAGACCAAGUUUCUUUUCAUAACAUCAAGAAUGAAUAGCAAAUGGAGUGAAUAGCACUGGCCCAACACCUUGGGGCAGAAAGAAAUCAGUAGGUCCAUGUGCUCGGCUGGCACCCGCAGGCCAUGGGUCUCAGCCUCCUGCAUGAUGAACUGGGAGCCUUCUCCGGCCACCAUGUGGACAGCGCCCUCUUCAUUCACAAUGACUUGAGUAACGCCAUCCUUUAUCAGCUGGCUAGCUGCAGCCGUGUCACAGACAGCAAACUGCAGGACUCCCUGAACCAUCUUCUUGAAGGCCACCUGGGCUCGUUCCUGAGACGUGAUGAUGGUUGAGGGGCGGACAACCUGGGUCAGUACUUCCAUGGAUGCUGGACUCUCCUCAACAUCUUGGAACAGCUGAGCCUCCGUGGCCUCCGCCUUGGCGUGAGCCUGGGCCGCUUCCUGGCUGGGCAGCUGGAUCAGCACGUCCUUGUGGCUGGGCCGACCUUUUUCCUCAUGCCCCACUCUGCCCUCCACCUCUCCCAACUCAGUGACAGCACACAGCAGUGCAUCUAAGGCUGAGGAGUUGUCAGAUGGAGGGACUCCAGCCUCAGAGAGACUUAAGACCUCCUGCUUGGUGACCUGCUGUAUGACAGCAGCACCUGGGCUGAGGGCCUCGUCCACACUGUGACUUUCCAUGGAACC